GUAAAUAUAGUUUAAUAAAAACCCUAGAUUGUGAUUCUAGAUAAAGAUUAAAACUCUUUUAUUUACC
RNAcentral lists this transfer RNA (67 nucleotides) under Glandirana rugosa (Japanese wrinkled frog). Its description in RNAcentral is "tRNA-His". The record is from RNAcentral. Lineage: Eukaryota; Metazoa; Chordata; Amphibia; Anura; Ranidae.